GUGUUUUGAUCACCAGCUUCAAGCCUGUUUACUCGGGAUUUCUGUUUCAUAAACUGCUCCUCAGGCAGGACACUUGCUUUCUAUCUUUGAAUGGUUUACCCACAGACCAGAGGGUUAAGGCUCUCACCUUCUUUUCAAAUCAAAGAAAGAAGAGCCCGGACCUUUCCCACCUCCCUCAGUUUUUAGCAUUUAUUUCUUUUAUCCUUUUUAUUUUAAGCGUACUUAACCUGAACCCUGUCUAUGAGUAAAGCAAUCUUUGGAAUAUUUCCUAAUCCGCUUUCUUUCUCUUUUUCUUAUGCCUUGGGAGCCCAGUCUUUAGGAGAAGCAGCUGCUCACUCGUGACUAAGGAAUGAAUGCCUGGUUAUGUCAAACUAUCCUCAAUCUCUUUCCCCUAUCGGAGUUGGAGAUAGGUACACGCGUAAUAAAAGAAAGCUUUGACAGAUCCAUCGAUCACGUUAAGUGCACAUAGCCCCUCUCGGUUGGUCUUCGCCCUACCUCUUUCGCUAAGACCCUUGUCCUGUCCCUAGAUAUAGCACGUUUAGGAACCUAUCCUAGAGAUUGUGUGCCAAGAGUGGGACAUUUCUCUGAAUAGUAAAGGCGUAAAGGCUCAACUA
RNAcentral lists this long non-coding RNA (614 nucleotides) under Medicago truncatula (barrel medic). Its description in RNAcentral is "long non-coding RNA (MTRU_LNC007213)". Lineage: Eukaryota; Viridiplantae; Streptophyta; Magnoliopsida; Fabales; Fabaceae. The record is from RNAcentral.